This 968-nucleotide ribosomal RNA is filed under the name Streptomyces crystallinus. RNAcentral's name for it is "bacterial SSU rRNA". It matches the Rfam family "Bacterial small subunit ribosomal RNA", at positions 67 to 1052 of the family's 1533-position model. The record is from RNAcentral. Lineage: Bacteria; Bacillati; Actinomycetota; Actinomycetes; Kitasatosporales; Streptomycetaceae.
CGAUGAAGCCCUUCGGGGUGGAUUAGUGGCGAACGGGUGAGUAACACGUGGGCAAUCUGCCCUUCACUCUGGGACAAGCCCUGGAAACGGGGUCUAAUACCGGAUACGACCUGGAAGCGCAUGCUUCUGGGUGGAAAGCUCCGGCGGUGAAGGAUGAGCCCGCGGCCUAUCAGCUUGUUGGUGGGGUAAUGGCCUACCAAGGCGACGACGGGUAGCCGGCCUGAGAGGGCGACCGGCCACACUGGGACUGAGACACGGCCCAGACUCCUACGGGAGGCAGCAGUGGGGAAUAUUGCACAAUGGGCGAAAGCCUGAUGCAGCGACGCCGCGUGAGGGAUGACGGCCUUCGGGUUGUAAACCUCUUUCAGCAGGGAAGAAGCGCAAGUGACGGUACCUGCAGAAGAAGCGCCGGCUAACUACGUGCCAGCAGCCGCGGUAAUACGUAGGGCGCAAGCGUUGUCCGGAAUUAUUGGGCGUAAAGAGCUCGUAGGCGGCUUGUCACGUCGGAUGUGAAAGCCCGGGGCUUAACCCCGGGUCUGCAUUCGAUACGGGCUAGCUAGAGUGUGGUAGGGGAGAUCGGAAUUCCUGGUGUAGCGGUGAAAUGCGCAGAUAUCAGGAGGAACACCGGUGGCGAAGGCGGAUCUCUGGGCCAUUACUGACGCUGAGGAGCGAAAGCGUGGGGAGCGAACAGGAUUAGAUACCCUGGUAGUCCACGCCGUAAACGUUGGGAACUAGGUGUUGGCGACAUUCCACGUCGUCGGUGCCGCAGCUAACGCAUUAAGUUCCCCGCCUGGGGAGUACGGCCGCAAGGCUAAAACUCACAGGAAUUGACGGGGGCCCGCACAAGCAGCGGAGCAUGUGGCUUAAUUCGACGCAACGCGAAGAACCUUACCAAGGCUUGACAUAUACCGGAGAGCAUUAUAGAUAGUGCCCCCCUCGUGGUCGGGAUACAAGUGGUGCAUGGCUGU